Molecule: non-coding RNA, 29 nt
Filed under: Homo sapiens (human)
Lineage: Eukaryota; Metazoa; Chordata; Mammalia; Primates; Hominidae
Source: RNAcentral
AGGAUGUGUUUAGAGAGCUGAUUGGAACA